RNAcentral lists this ribosomal RNA (468 nucleotides) under uncultured bacterium. RNAcentral's name for it is "partial 16S ribosomal RNA". It matches the Rfam family "Bacterial small subunit ribosomal RNA", at positions 28 to 507 of the family's 1533-position model. The record is from RNAcentral.
GACGAACGCUGGCGGCGUGCUUAACACAUGCAAGUCGAACGGAAAGGCCCUGCUUUUGUGGGGUGCUCGAGUGGCGAACGGGUGAGUAACACGUGAGUAACCUGCCCUUGACUUUGGGAUAACUUCAGGAAACUGGGGCUAAUACCGGAUAGGAGCUCCUGCUGCAUGGUGGGGGUUGGAAAGUUUCGGCGGUUGGGGAUGGACUCGCGGCUUAUCAGCUUGUUGGUGGGGUAGCGGCUUACCAAGGCUUUGACGGGUAGCCGGCCUGAGAGGGUGAACGGCCACAUGGGGACUGAGAUACGGGCCAGAGUCCUACGGGAGGCAGCAGUGGGGAAGAGUGCACAAUGGGCGGAAGCCUGAUGCAGCAACGCCGCGUGCGGGAUGACGGCCUUCGGUUUGGAAACCGCUUUCGCCUGUGACGAAGCGUGAGUGACGGUAAUGGAUAAAGAAGCACCGGCUAACUACGUG